UACAGAGGGUGCAAGCGUUGUCCGGAAUCACUGGGCGUAAAGGGCGUGUAGGCGGGAAGGUAAGUCGGGCGUGAAAUCCCUGGGCUCAACCCAGGAACUGCACUCGAAACUACUUUUCUUGAGUGCCGGAGAGGAAAGCGGAAUUCCUGGUGUAGAGGUGAAAUUCGUAGAUAUCAGGAGGAACACCAGUGGCGAAGGCGACUACCUGGCCUGUUCUUGACGCUGAGGCGCGAAAGCUAGGGGAGCAAACGGG
RNAcentral lists this ribosomal RNA (253 nucleotides) under uncultured bacterium. RNAcentral describes it as "partial 16S ribosomal RNA". It matches the Rfam family "Bacterial small subunit ribosomal RNA", at positions 524 to 776 of the family's 1533-position model. The record is from RNAcentral.